UGGGACUGCUACAAGAGCAGGAAGUAAACAAAUCGCUCCCGCCGUGAAUCUCAGAGCACUGGAGAGGUCUGUAGAGCUCUUCUUGUCAAUGUUCUUUGCAGAGGAAGAAACUGAUUUAAGUCUCGUGCAAGCCACCAUACAGGUGAUGAACAAAACCAAUACGCAAGAACUCAGCUCUCCCACCAGCACCAGCGAUCCUUUCUGCCUCUGCCUGCAGCAGGAAGUCGCGCCAGUCGCCUUUCCUUCGGGUAAUAGGACUCUGGCUUGCGGGGAAGGGUCAGCGGAGGGACCGCCCCGACCCGGAAAGGCUUGGGGACCCGGGGCCCCCUUACUACUGGGAGGAAUGCAGGAGGGGAGGGGGCUCUGGGUGGGCAGGCAUGGAGGCCAAUCGCGGAAGUGUUGAGAUUUGUUUCCGAGGUGGAGAUCCGCCUGGACAGACCACGAUUCAGCCCUCCACCGUGAGUUUGGGGCGGGGUGGGGCCCUAACUUCGGGCAGCGUCUUCAGUUUCCUGGGGUUGUGCCUGCGCUUCCCUGAGCCGGAGCGUAUCCCGUGCCCUUUGAGCCGGAGGUGUCUAAAUCCAUUUCCUGUUGCUACUAACACAGUAUGUCAGAGGGGUCACAUUAAUCCCCACCUGAGAAGCAUCCAAGGUUUGGGAAGAGUCUGUUUCUUGAGGAAGGCAUUGCCAAGACUCUGUGUGAUUGAUUCAUGGUGCAAUGCCGGGAUGAAGGGUAUGUGAUUAGUAAGUCAGUCCACUGACUGGUUUGGCACCACCCCAGUCCAGGUAGCCUAGAUAGAGUAUAAAAGGGGCAGAAAGACACAGUGAAGGCCCCUUGUUGCUUUUGCUACCUUGUGGACACCUUGAAUUGUUUGCAGUCAGUCAAGCAACCAUACCUUGAUGGACUGAAACCUCUACAAACUGUGAGCUAAAUAAACCUUUCCCUAUUUAACUUUGGGUGUGGAGUAUUGUGUCUCAACAAUGAGAGAAAAGUAACCAAGACACCAAGUAUGAUGCUCACUCAUGACAGGCCAUCUGCUAAGAGGCUGCGGAAACAGAAAGAAACAUCGCCUCCUCCACCCUCUCGAUUAACUGUAACCAGUCCUCAGGCAGAAAGUUCGCUUCCAUCACAGGCCAUGCAGAGUCUACCCUAUGUUCAUUCAGGGUGGGCAUCUGCCCAUCUGAGUUUUCCAAAACUCAGGCAGGAGCUACAUUUGCUACUGAGAGCCCAAAUUAGGCUCCUCCCACCCCCAGGGUUUGUGAGGGAGGGUGCCAUUUCUCUGCAUGGAUCCAUGAAAGGAGGCGGCAAGCUCCUUGAGAAGACAGUCUUGGCUAUAAGAUGGGAAGAGGCUUACUGAUAUUGCAUUUACAAGGACAAUUUAUUCUAAAACUGCUUUUAAGAAGGAAGAGGAAACAUCUUUUUCGUUUCUCUCAACAAGUAGAAUUGAACCUCCUGGUUGUAAUUUUCUUUUUUCUCGUACUCUGCUUCUGAGAGCCGUGGCCCAACAUUACUGAGUCAGGCCCCCAGGACUUGAGCCCAACACAGAGACUAUGAAGGUGCUGCUAAUCAAAUGAAGGUCCUGUUCCUGGACUCAGCGCAAAAUCAUAAAUGGGCAGAUCGCAGCUCUGCUAGCAGCUGUGGGUUUUGAGCGCCAAUGACCAUCAGCCCUCGAUGGCUUCAAGUGCCUGUGGCCCUCACCUUACAGCAGCGGGAACCCGAUUGCCAAUUACUGUUGCUAGGCUCUGCCACUAGGUGACGCCACCAGUUGACACCGGUUAAUGCUGAUCAUCACUGGUCAAGGCCAUCAGUUACCGUCCCCGCCUGGUGCGGCCAGUCAUUGCUGCUGCUGGAGGCCGCCAGCAGCUGAUGCCAGUUGGCACUGUGCACCACUGCCUCUGACCUUCGCUGGCUGCUGGUCUCUUUUCCAGUCACUGGAACUCUUCGGGGCCAACAUCCCUAGUAUUUAUGGCUUUAUUAUCAUUACUAUUUUAGCAACUGCUUAGCCCACACUACCAGCGAUACCAAUCCCAAGUAGAUUUAUAGGACCUUCUGGGCUGACACUACUGGAGAAAUGAAUCAUAAGUAGAUUUACAAGACCACCAGAGCCAGGCUGUGAUGCAGCACCAGUGGGUCAGACAGAAUACCCUCCUAUACCAACCUGGAGUUGCUGAGAGGAGUUGUGUUGCCAUGGCAGUGAUUUGUCCAAACUCACACUGCUGACUGCUCUGAAUCUACACCCGCUAGGUCAAAUGUGUAAGAAGUGUGAUGGCGCCGGGUCUGGGUCACCACCAGAGUCCAUGGCACCUGCCCACUCUACAAGCACUCCCACUGGCUGCAAAGGAUGCCUGCAGCACAGCAAGUGCAUUCAGAUGGUUGCUGAACAACUGAGCAGAGAAGAGAGGUGUUUGUGAGGGGCCAGGUGAGCCUCGGGUGGGAGAAGCACAGUGAGAAACUUGUUGCUGAGCAAUGGGGUGUGGACUCUGACCCGGGACUGGAGAGUCCCACUGUUAGUGGCAAUGCCCCCAGCCUUCUAGCAUGUAUGGGCUGGGGCCUUGGGAGGGCUUCAGAGAUGGCUGAGUAUGCUGCACAGGAUGAGACAGGAAGAUCACCAGUUCAAGGCCAGCCAGGGAAACUUGAUGAAACCCUCCCACAAGAUUAAAAGUGGUACAGUUACAUUUACAGGCCCCUGGGUCCAAUCCCAAAUAUGGAGGUGGGGACAGUGUGCUAGGUGGGACAAACCUGAAGUGAACAGGAGGAUGGGUAGUAGGCCUGUCACAAGAGUGAGGGCAGAUAAACAAGUGUAUACUCUCCCUUUGCCCUGCGGGUUAAUUCUGCUAGGAUUGCAAAACCAAAUGGAAUUGGGCGCUCUGUUUUGAGCUCACUGACCUUGGGGUUUAUAAUUAUCAAAUACUCACGAGAUAGCCAAUGUGAUGGCACCUAGCUCUUUCCAAAGCAGGCCCAGUCAGAGGCUGUGGGCUGAAGCUGCCCUGGACACUCUCAGCAGUGUGGUAGAGCCAGCAAAAAAUGUGGGUACAAGGUUGAGACUCUCAGGGUUGGGCUGGAGUCCUGAACCUUCCUCGGCAUCUCAAGUUCAGGCCAUUUAUAAUGAUGACCAUUUUUCCAUAUCAGCCCAAAACUGGAGGAAAGAGGUUUUGCUGAUCUUCUG
Molecule: long non-coding RNA, 3163 nt
Organism: Chinchilla lanigera (long-tailed chinchilla)
Lineage: Eukaryota; Metazoa; Chordata; Mammalia; Rodentia; Chinchillidae
Source: Ensembl